This 301-nucleotide ribosomal RNA is filed under the name uncultured bacterium. RNAcentral describes it as "partial 16S ribosomal RNA". It matches the Rfam family "Bacterial small subunit ribosomal RNA", at positions 509 to 808 of the family's 1533-position model. The record is from RNAcentral.
CAGCCGCCGCGGUAAAACGUAGGUCCCGAGCGUUGUCCGGAUUUAUUGGGCGUAAAGCGAGCGCAGGCGGUUAGAUAAGUCUGAAGUUAAAGGCUGUGGCUUAACCAUAGUACGCUUUGGAAACUGUUUAACUUGAGUGCAAGAGGGGAGAGUGGAAUUCCAUAUGUAGCGGUGAAAUGCGUAGAUAUAUGGAGGAACACCGGUGGCGAAAGCGGCUCUCUGGCUUGUAACUGACACUGAGAGACGAAAGCUAGGGGAGCAAAUGGGAUUAGAUACCCCGGUAGUCCCUGUCUCUUAUACA